GACGAACGCUGGCGGCGUGCUUAACACAUGCAAGUCGAACGGAAAGGCCCUGCUUUUGUGGGGUGCUCGAGUGGCGAACGGGUGAGUAACACGUGAGUAACCUGCCCUUGACUUUGGGAUAACUUCAGGAAACUGGGGCUAAUACCGGAUAGGAGCUCCUGCUGCAUGGUGGGGGUUGGAAAGUUUCGGCGGUUGGGGAUGGACUCGCGGCUUAUCCGCUUGUUGGUGGGGUAGUGGCUUACCAGGGCUUUGACGGUUAGCCGGCCUGGGAGGGUGACCGGCCCCAUGGGGCCGAGGAUACGCCCCGGACUCCUCCGGGAGGCAGCAGUGGGGAUAAUGGCACAAUGGGCGGAAGCCUGAGCAAGCAACGCCGCGGGCGGGAUGACGGCCUUCGGGUUGUAAACCGCUUUCGCCUGCGACGAAGCGUGAGUGACGGUAAUGGGUAAAGAAGCACCGGCUAACUACGUG
This 468-nucleotide ribosomal RNA is filed under the name uncultured bacterium. RNAcentral describes it as "partial 16S ribosomal RNA". It matches the Rfam family "Bacterial small subunit ribosomal RNA", at positions 28 to 507 of the family's 1533-position model. The record is from RNAcentral.